This 353-nucleotide unclassified non-coding RNA is filed under the name Hevea brasiliensis (rubber tree). The record is from RNAcentral. Lineage: Eukaryota; Viridiplantae; Streptophyta; Magnoliopsida; Malpighiales; Euphorbiaceae.
GAAAAAAAAAAAUUUAAUGAUUUUCACUAAUUAUUCAUAGUUAGGAAUCACGUGCAAUGUUUUGAAAUAUUCUUAUGGAAGUGUCUGUUCUGCCAGACCCUUAAUUUCUUUGUGCUGUUUGCAGAGGUAGGAUGAGUCUAUCUUCAGAAUAAAAGCUCAUUAAGCUGUUAUAUGUUUGAUUUUUCAAUUUUUUUGUAAUGUGUCAAUGUUUUUUCAAUGGGUUUAGUAAUGUACGAUUCCAAGCCUUUUGAUGAGGGUAAGAGCACAACUUUUGGAUAUUGGAAGCGGGUAUGGUUCCACCAAGAUGGCUCUCAAUUAUUGGACUAUUAAUUUAAUGUUAUCUUUUAUUUAAA